UAAUGAUGGGGGCGCUGUCUCCAGCAGAGACUCAGUGAAAUCGAAUUCGCCGUGAAGAUGCGGUGUACCCGCGGCUAGACGGAAAGACCCCGUGAACCUUUACUGCAGCUUGACAUUGAACUUUGAUCUUACUUGUGUAGGAUAGGUGGGAGGCUUUGAAGUCGCGACGCUAGUUGCGAUGGAGCCGUCCUUGAAAUACCACCCUGGUAAUAUUGAGGUUCUAACUCUGUCCCGUUAUCCGGGACGAGGACCAUGUCUGGUGGGUAGUUUGACUGGGGCGGUCUCCUCCUAAAGAGUAACGGAGGAGUACGAAGGUGCGCUCAGCGUGGUCGGAAAUCACGCGUAGAGUAUAAAGGCAAAAGCGCGCUUAACUGCGAGACCCACAAGUCGAGCAGGUACGAAAGUAGGUCUUAGUGAUCCGGUGGUUCUGUAUGGAAGGGCCAUCGCUCAACGGAUAAAAGGUACUCUGGGGAUAACAGGCUGAUACCGCCCAAGAGUUCAUAUCGACGGCGGUGUUUGGCACCUCGAUGUCGGCUCAUCUCAUCCUGGGGCUGAAGCAGGUCCCAAGGGUAUGGCUGUUCGCCAUUUAAAGAGGUACGCGAGCUGGGUUUAGAACGUCGUGAGACAGUUCGGUCCCUAUCUACCGUGGGCGUUGGAAAUUUGAGAGGAUCUGCUCCUAGUACGAGAGGACCAGAGUGGACGAACCUCUGGUGUACCGGUUGUCACGCCAGUGGCAUCGCCGGGUAGCUAUGUUCGGAAGGGAUAACCGCUGAAAGCAUCUAAGCGGGAAGCCUACCUCAAGAUAAGAUUUCCCCGAGACUUUAUGUCUCCUAAAGAGCCGUUGAAGACUACGACGUUGAUAGGUUGGAUGUGGAAGCAUAGUGAUAUGUGAAGCUGACCAAUACUAAUUGCUCGUGAGGCUUGACU
Molecule: ribosomal RNA, 927 nt
Filed under: Salmonella enterica subsp. enterica
Lineage: Bacteria; Pseudomonadati; Pseudomonadota; Gammaproteobacteria; Enterobacterales; Enterobacteriaceae
Description: partial 23S ribosomal RNA
Rfam family: Bacterial large subunit ribosomal RNA
Source: RNAcentral